GAUGCGACCUCAGCUCAGGCGGGGCUACCCGCUGAGUUUAAGCAUAUCAAUAAGCGGAGGAAAAAAACUAACANGGAUUCCCUAG
This 85-nucleotide ribosomal RNA is filed under the name Gilbertiodendron bilineatum. Its description in RNAcentral is "partial 26S ribosomal RNA". It matches the Rfam family "Eukaryotic large subunit ribosomal RNA", at positions 1 to 83 of the family's 3401-position model. Lineage: Eukaryota; Viridiplantae; Streptophyta; Magnoliopsida; Fabales; Fabaceae. The record is from RNAcentral.